RNAcentral lists this ribosomal RNA (442 nucleotides) under uncultured bacterium. RNAcentral describes it as "partial 16S ribosomal RNA". It matches the Rfam family "Bacterial small subunit ribosomal RNA", at positions 338 to 795 of the family's 1533-position model. The record is from RNAcentral.
CCUACGGGAGGCAGCAGUGGGGAAUAUUGGGCAAUGGGCGCAAGCCUGACCCAGCAACGCCGCGUGAAGGAAGAAGGCUCUCGGGUUGUAAACUUCUUUUGACAGGGAAGAAUAGAAUACUGUUCCUGUCUAAUUAACCACGGCUAAAUACGGGGCAGCAGCCGCGGUCAUACGGAGGUGGCCAGCGUUUUCCGGGUUUACUGGGUUUAAAGGGCGUGUAGGCGGGUGGACAAGUCAGACGUGAAAUCCUGCGGCUUAACCGCAGAACUGCAUUUGAAACUGUUGAUCUUGAGUACUGGAGAGGCAGACGGAAUUCCUAGUGUAGCGGUGAAAUGCGUAGAUAUAAGGAGGAACACCAGUGGCGAAGGCGGUCUGCUGGACAGUAACUGACGGUGAGGCGCGAAAGCGUGGGGAGCAAACAGGAUUAGAUACCCGGGUAGUC